UUACCUGCCCACUGAUAAUAAUAAUUUAAUGGCCGCGGUAUCAAUGACCGUGCAAAGGUAGCAUAAUCAUUAGUCUUUUAAUGGAGGCUUGUAUGAAUGGUUGGACAAAAGGAAAACUGUCUUCUUUAAUAAAAAUUGAAUUUAACUUUUAAGUGAAAAGGCUUAAAUGUUUCAAAGGGACGAUAAGACCCUAUAAAGCUUUUAUAAAGAAUAAAAUUUAAGUUGAAGUUUACAAUUAAAAUGUUAAGGUUUAUGUUUUAUUAGGUUGGGGUAACUAAGGUAUAAUUAUAAAUAACUGCUUAAUGUAGAAACAAGUAUAUUUGUAUUAUAAGGUUAAAUGAUCCUUACAUAAAGAUUUAAAGAUUAAGUUACUUUAGGGAUAACAGCGUUAUUUUUUUUGAGAGUUCAUAUCGAAAAAAGAGUUUGCGACCUCGAUGUUGAAUUAAAAUUUCUAUAUAGUGCAGCUAUUAUAUAAGAAGGUCUGUUCGACCUUUAAUUUUUUACAUGAUUUGAGUUCAGACCGGUGUAAACC
Molecule: ribosomal RNA, 532 nt
Filed under: Typhlopseudothelphusa sp. R371-Typh4
Lineage: Eukaryota; Metazoa; Arthropoda; Malacostraca; Decapoda; Pseudothelphusidae
Description: partial 16S ribosomal RNA
Rfam family: Bacterial large subunit ribosomal RNA
Source: RNAcentral